This 1500-nucleotide long non-coding RNA is filed under the name Numida meleagris (helmeted guineafowl). Its description in RNAcentral is "lncRNA (ENSNMEG00000011193.1)". The record is from RNAcentral. Lineage: Eukaryota; Metazoa; Chordata; Aves; Galliformes; Numididae.
CAUUCUUCUACCACCUGUAAAUUAUGGGUUCAUGGGCCCCAUAAAUAUGAUCUAUGCUAAAUAAUAAUGUUGCAGGGAUACUCUAUGUCCCAGUGAGGCAGUAGCUCAGCUUUAUUCUCAUCUGUAAGCAGCUGGAUGAUUUGGCUCUUUUACUAGUAUAUGAGUUCAACUGUUGGCCAAACAAGGUCUGACCUCUCACUGUCUCUCUUCCCUCCAUCUCAGCUGAUGAAGUGGGUGCUUCCUCCUCACCUUUUUCCACAGAACCAAUGAGGGCAGCUCUGUUUCUACCCUUGUGACAAGCUCAUCUAGCACUGAUUUAGCUUGUAUUGGCAACAACGUGGUUUUUGCUGGGAGAGUUUGUAGGGACUUCCCUAAAUAAAAUAAGCUGAGUGGGAAUUUAAGAUUUUGCUAGUCUAACUGGUGCAUGCAGACCAGUAGGCUGAAAUUAUAUACCAGUAUUUAUUUAUUUAUUUAUUUAAUGCAUAGUUGUGAGAGAUGUGAACCUUGCAUUGCUAAGCAGGAAAGUACUGAAAGAGAAGGCUAUGGCCCAGCAGUUGCAAUGGCCAUUGUCUGUGUUCAAAGCCUCCUGCUCUCACUGGAGUCAAGAAGGGAGACAGAGAAGGGGGAGAAACUCUCUGAAACCUGUUAAAGGUUCGGGUCUAUAAUAUGUCCUAUGUUCCCAGAAGGAGAUGGUCACCCAUGCCCAGACAGAAAAUACAAGGCUCAGGAUGAGCUGUUUGCUACAUCCAAACAUCCACCUCUGUUGGAAAAAUGAAAUACUUUCAAACUUCUGAAAAUAAUAUGAUGCAGUGGGGGAGUUCAAGUAUUACUUUGUUUGUUUGUUUGUUUUUUGGAAGUGGCCAAAAUCCUUGCUCUCAAAUGGGAUAAUUGUGUAGACUGUGUUGAAGCAUUAGCCACAUUACUGAUGCACAAUUGUUAGAUAAUACAAAUAUCAUUUAAAUAUUUGAUGAAUUUUGAAAAGUACUGUCACUAAUGCUUACUAACCCUCAGUAUUUUCACUGCGUGGAGUUAAGUGUAACCACAUUAUAUUUAUGUCAAAAACAUGUAAGUUAUUUAUAUUUCCCAUCUCUGAGCACUGUGCUCUCAGAAGCCUUGUUUUCCACUCUGAAUGUUUCUAAUCAUGACUCAUCAGCUGACUGAGUAAAAUGAUUUCAAUUUAAACAGAUAAGAGAAAAAAUACCUUAAUACCAUUUAAUGUCUUAGAACCCACUCUUCUGCAUAUUUCUGCAAAGUUUGUGUAAGAUCUCUGUUACUAGGUUGAUUCAGGUCCUAGAGAUGUGAUAUUUUACUUUUAUGACUCUAUGUAAUCCUUUGCCCUGUUGUUCAAGAUGCAUUGUCCUCUGACUCACAACAAGUGAUGAAUUGCAGGGUAGUGUUGCCAAUUUUCCAGUAUACACUAGAUGAGAGAUAUAAACAAUCAUAUCUUCAUAACAGUAACGUGAACUAAGCUCAACAAAACUGAAGUAAAACCUAUAAUUU